CAACAGGGAUUGCCCUAGUAACGGCGAGUGAAGCGGCAACAGCUCAAAUUUGAAAUCUGGCCCCUUUGGGGUCCGAGUUGUAAUUUGCAGAGGGUGCUUUGGCGUUGGCAGCGGUCUAAGUUCCUUGGAACAGGACAUCGCAGAGGGUGAGAAUCCCGUAUGUGGUCGCAUGCCUCCGCCGUGUAAAGCCCCUUCGACGAGUCGAGUUGUUUGGGAAUGCAGCUCUAAAUGGGAGGUAAAUCUCUUCUAAAGCUAAAUACCGGCCAGAGACCGAUAGCGCACAAGUAGAGUGAUCGAAAGAUGAAAAGCACUUUGGAAAGAGAGUCAAACAGCACGUGAAAUUGUUGAAAGGGAAGCGCUUGCAGCCAGACUUGCCUGUAGUUGCUCACCCGGGCUCCUGCCCGGGGCACUCUUCUGCAGGCAGGCCAGCAUCAGUUUGGGCGGUCGGAUAAAGGGCUCUGACACGUACUUCCCCUCGGGGUUGACAUACAGGGGAGCCGCAAUGCGAUCAGCCCGGACUGAGGUCCGCGCAUCUGCUAGGAUGCUGGCGUAAUGGCUGUAAGCGG
Molecule: ribosomal RNA, 566 nt
Filed under: Periconia igniaria
Lineage: Eukaryota; Fungi; Ascomycota; Dothideomycetes; Pleosporales; Periconiaceae
Description: eukaryotic LSU rRNA
Rfam family: Eukaryotic large subunit ribosomal RNA
Source: RNAcentral